GAUGAACGCUAGCGGCAGGCUUAACACAUGCAAGUCGAGGGGCAGCGCGAUGUAGCAAUACAUUGGCGGUGACCGGCGCACGGGUGCGUAACACGUAUGGAACUUACCCUUUACUGGGAGAUAGCCCGGAGAAAUCCGGAUUAAUAUCCCAUAAUAAACGAAGUGGCAUCACUUUGUUUUGAAAGCUCCGGCGGUAAAGGAUGGCCAUGCGCACGAUUAGCUAGUAGGUGAGGUAACGGCUCACCUAGGCUACGAUCGUUAGGGGGCCUGAGAGGGUUAUCCCCCACACUGGUACUGAGACACGGACCAGACUCCUACGGGAGGCAGCAGUGAGGAAUAUUGCGCAAUGGAGGCAACUCUGACGCAGCCAUGCCGCGUGCAGGAAGAAGGCGCUACGCGUUGUAAACUGCUUUUAACCGGGAAGAAACCCUCCGACGUGUCGGAGGUUGACGGUACCGGAGGAAUAAGCACCGGCUAACUUCGUGCCAGCAGCCGCGGUAAAGUCAG
RNAcentral lists this ribosomal RNA (507 nucleotides) under uncultured bacterium. Its description in RNAcentral is "bacterial SSU rRNA". It matches the Rfam family "Bacterial small subunit ribosomal RNA", at positions 28 to 529 of the family's 1533-position model. The record is from RNAcentral.